UUAGAAUGACUGCUAAUACCGCAUUAUGCCUAAGCAACACAUGUUGCAAUAGGGAAAGGAGUAAUCCGCUGAUAGAUGGGCUUGCGUCUGAUUAGAUAGUUGGUGAGGUAACGGCUCACCAAGUCGACGAUCAGUAGCCGGACUGAGAGGUUGAACGGCCACAUUGGGACUGAGACACGGCCCAGACUCCUACGGGAGGCAGCAGUGGGGAAUAUUUGCACAAUGGAGGAAACUCUGAUGCAGCGAUGCCGCGUGAGGGAAGAAGGUUUUCGGAUUGUAAACUUUUGUUCUUAGUGAAGAAACAUGACGGUAGCUAAGGAGAAAGCCACGGCUAACUACGUG
RNAcentral lists this ribosomal RNA (342 nucleotides) under uncultured bacterium. Its description in RNAcentral is "bacterial SSU rRNA". It matches the Rfam family "Bacterial small subunit ribosomal RNA", at positions 150 to 507 of the family's 1533-position model. The record is from RNAcentral.